Molecule: ribosomal RNA, 427 nt
Filed under: uncultured bacterium
Lineage: Bacteria
Description: partial 16S ribosomal RNA
Rfam family: Bacterial small subunit ribosomal RNA
Source: RNAcentral
UGGGGAAUAUUGCACAAUGAGCGCAAGCCUGAUGCAGCCAUGCCGCGUGUAUGAAGAAGGCCUUCGGGUUGUAAAGUACUUUCAGCGAGGAGGAAGGCGUUGUGGUUAAUAACCGCAACGAUUGACGUUACUCGCAGAAGAAGCACCGGCUAACUCCGUGCCAGCAGCCGCGGUAAUACGGAGGGUGCAAGCGUUAAUCGGAAUUACUGGGCGUAAAGCGCACGCAGGCGGUCUGUCAAGUCGGAUGUGAAAUCCCCGGGCUCAACCUGGGAACUGCAUCCGAAACUGGCAGGCUAGAGUCUUGUAGAGGGGGGUAGAAUUCCAGGUGUAGCGGUGAAAUGCGUAGAGAUCUGGAGGAAUACCGGUGGCGAAGGCGGCCCCCUGGACAAAGACUGACGCUCAGGUGCGAAAGCGUGGGGAGCAAACA